UGCUUAAAACCCAAAGGAUUUGACGGUGUCCCACCCCACUANGAGGAGCCUGUUCUAUAAUCGAUGAUCCCCGCUUCACCUAACCAUCCCUCGCCUACCAUUCUGUAUACCUCCGUCAAAAGCUUACCAUNUGAACNCCCGCANUAAGCUUAAUGAUUUUACCAUCAACACUUCGGGUCAAGGUGCAGCUUANGGGACGGAAANUAAUGGGCUACAAUUUCUAAUCUAAAACAAACAAAAGACUAUNUGAAACCCUAGUCAUNANGGUGGAUUUANUAUUAAAAAAAAAAUAAAUUUUNCUUUUAANCCCGGCUCNGGGACCCUUACACNCCNCCCGUC
This 339-nucleotide ribosomal RNA is filed under the name Rana temporaria (common frog). Its description in RNAcentral is "partial 12S ribosomal RNA". The record is from RNAcentral. Lineage: Eukaryota; Metazoa; Chordata; Amphibia; Anura; Ranidae.